Molecule: ribosomal RNA, 252 nt
Filed under: uncultured bacterium
Lineage: Bacteria
Description: partial 16S ribosomal RNA
Rfam family: Bacterial small subunit ribosomal RNA
Source: RNAcentral
AGAGGUCGUCAAGCGUUGUUCGGAUUCAUUGGGCGUAAAGGGUGCGUAGGCGGCGCGGUAAGUCGGGUGUGAAAUCUCGGAGCUUAACUCCGAAACUGCAUUCGAUACUGCCGUGCUUGAGGACUGGGGAGGAGACUGGAAUUUACGGUGUAGCGGAUGAAAUGCGUAGAUAUCGUAAGGAAGACCAGUGGCGAAGGCGGGUCUCUGGACAGUUCCUGACGCUGAGGCACGAAGGUCAGGGGAGCAAACGGG